CGCGUAGGCGGCCUUCUAAGUCGAACGUGAAAUCCCUGGGCUCAACCCAGGAACUGCGUCCGAUACUGGAAGGCUUGAAUCCGGGAGAGGGAUGCGGAAUUCCAGGUGUAGCGGUGAAAUGCGUAGAUAUCUGGAGGAACACCGGUGGCGAAGGCGGCAUCCUGGACCGGUAUUGACGCUGAGGCGCGAAGCCAGGGGAGCAAACGG
Molecule: ribosomal RNA, 207 nt
Filed under: uncultured bacterium
Lineage: Bacteria
Description: partial 16S ribosomal RNA
Rfam family: Bacterial small subunit ribosomal RNA
Source: RNAcentral